CAUCUGCCACAUACAAAAACUAUCUUCCUAGUUAGCCUUCCUUUGACAUUGCUGCACCUCUUAUGUUGUCCACAGCUUACACUGGGUACAUCUUAUGGAGUUUCUACCUAUGCCUUUCCUAGGGAUCAAACAGGGCCAUCUAUCUGAAGGGAUUUGUAAUUUGCCUGCCAUCCAACUUACU
Molecule: long non-coding RNA, 181 nt
Organism: Octopus sinensis (East Asian common octopus)
Lineage: Eukaryota; Metazoa; Mollusca; Cephalopoda; Octopoda; Octopodidae
Exons: 3
Source: RefSeq, a predicted model, not a curated record